This 253-nucleotide ribosomal RNA is filed under the name uncultured bacterium. Its description in RNAcentral is "partial 16S ribosomal RNA". It matches the Rfam family "Bacterial small subunit ribosomal RNA", at positions 524 to 776 of the family's 1533-position model. The record is from RNAcentral.
UACGUAGGGGGCAAGCGUUGUCCGGAAUCAUUGGGCGUAAAGAGCGUGUAGGCGGUCCGGUAAGUCGGCUGUGAAAGUCCAGGGCUCAACCCGGGAACUGCGUCCGAUACUGGCAGGCUUGAAUCCGGGAGAGGGAAGCGGAAUUCCUGGUGUAGCGGUGAAAUGCGUAGAUACCAGGAGGAACACCGGUGGCGAAGGCGGCUUCCUGGCCGAGUACUGACGCUGAGGCACGAAAGCGUGGGGAGCGAACGGG